Small nuclear RNA from Echinops telfairi (small Madagascar hedgehog), 106 nucleotides. The record is from RefSeq and is a predicted model, not a curated record. Lineage: Eukaryota; Metazoa; Chordata; Mammalia; Afrosoricida; Tenrecidae.
GUGCUCGCUUCACCAGCACAUAUUCCAAAAUUGGAACAAUACACAGAAGAUUAGCAUGGCCCCAUACAAGGAUGACAGGCAAAUUCAUGAAACGUUCCCAAAUUUG